Bombus huntii is the source of this 3946-nucleotide long non-coding RNA. RefSeq lists it as uncharacterized. The record is from RefSeq and is a predicted model, not a curated record. Lineage: Eukaryota; Metazoa; Arthropoda; Insecta; Hymenoptera; Apidae. The transcript is spliced from 2 exons.
CUCGGCUUGAACGUCGUGUACUGCGGCGGCUUCUCGAUCUUGCAAUGGGGCUUCAGGGUUGCUAAACGAUCUGGUUUGAGAAACAGCUGCUCCCCCUGCACAAUUUUCAUCUUAAGGAUCUUAACCCAUUAAGGACCAAGCGGCGAGGAUCUGCGAUGAAGAGAAGAAUAUCAAGCAAAUGGAAUUUCCUUUCACAACCACAACGAUAGAAAGCAAAACGAGAGGGAAAAUUGCGAGUGAAAUGUUGCGUUCACACAACGUUGACUUUUAACAGUGGCGGAUCGAGAGGAGGGGCGAUAGGGUGAUUAACCUUCAAAAAUAAUAAAAUAUAAAUAUAUCACUAUUAUCACAUUCUGAAAAAUUUGUUAGGCGUAUAAUUAAUGUAAAUUGAAUUAUUUGAUCUGGAAUAUCAGAUAGAGAUAUUAAAACAUAAAUUACCUACGAAAUAUAAAUGAAGCAUAUUUUAAAUCUUGCGCGCAUUUCGCUCCUCCUCCAAGAAAGGCCACUGGAUCUGCCAUUGACAUUUAAUGGGUUAAGAGAUUGCGAAUUUGAUCGCAUUCAAGGUAAAUACGCGCGUAACCGUAAGCGCCUGGGUAAUAAAACUCUAUGGAUAGUAUAUGCUACGGGUGAUUACUUAGCAAUCGGAAAUAAUAAACUAUAGAAUAUAUGUAGGUGCGGUUUGUGCAAAUAUUCUGAUAUGUACGUAGAAAGAAACAGGGCCGUUUUAUUCUUCGGGUUAUGAUCGGCUCAUUGUUCUCCACGUUAUUAUUAGAUAUUUAUUGAUGCCGUUCAUUACGAUGCGCCGGUAUUGACGCGGCAAUGCUGCCAAAAUGAUGCGUUUUAUUAUGUAAAUACGCUGCUGACGAGGAAAAUAUCGUGACAAUUGGACGAAGCAAUUACCAAUUGAAAAUUGUCAUCGAAUAAAGUAGGCAUUAAUCGCAUUGUUUCAAUGAAAUUUUUCAAAACGCAUCACUUUGUUACCAGCUGCGACAUAAUUUUCAACGUGUCUAAUGAGUUUCGAAUAUCCGCAAAUACGGAAUAAAUAUUCGCGCGCAUGUUAAUAUUAUCGACAUCGAUGUAAAUAACGUCCUGAUAAACGUUAUGAAUAAAUAUUUAGACUGGUUUGGUAAUCGAAAUUUCAUAAAACGUUGGAAUUUUCGUUCGAUCAAAAUAUUUGUUCUUUCAGGUUGGAUAGGACAAAAAAAAAAAAAAAAAAGAAAAAAAUAUCGUGAUUUCUCGUCCUAUAAAACGGUCCUGGGUUCGUUUGGAUUCUUAUAUCAAACGGGGAUAUAUAUAUACUGGGAAAGUGAAGCAAACAGUGCUCGAUGUUACGCAAACGUGUCACAUACUGUACACGGUUUCAAACAGGUUGAUAUCGAUAAUUUGUAUAGGUAUGUACUUGCGUGGCAUGCUCGCGAUCGUUUCCGCGAUGGUAAAAGGGAUAUUACGGGGUCUGAUAACAAACGGACAAGCACACGCAUCUGUAUGAUUAUUUUUUAAUGACAACAUGAUACACGAAAGAGAGUACUCGAAGCUCGUUCGAGCUGCUUCUACACAGAGCGUCAUACAGCGUCGUCUCACGUAGAUUGCUUGGUUACAGGCAUGGACGAAGUUCACCGACGGCGAUGACAGUCUCGAAACGCAAGCAGCGAGGCUAAUUAAUGGUUACAAUGAUCCUGUGCUAACGAUGACAAUGACGUGUUGCGAUCAGACGAAGCGCGAAUGUGACGAGAAGAGGGAGAGCGAGAGAGAGAGAGAGAGAGGGAGGGAGAAGAAACGUCGUCUCAACGAAGAUAAGUAAAAGAUAUGUACACAGAAAUGUCAGCAUGCACGCGGAAUUUGCGAGGUCGUAACAUGCUCGGUAAUAAUCGUCGUGGAACGCAAAUCAAGGGGAAAUCCCUUCGAACGAUUAAAUUACAUCGUAAAUUUCGUUCGUUUGGUAGCGAUAGCGCCCACGUUGCGCCUUUUCACGGUUCGGUUUAAGUAAAUAGCAAUUUGCUCUCUUGUCCAUCGAUUUUCGGAGAAACCAGUUAAGCGUGUGUACAAGACGGAACUUAACGUUAUCGAACCGCGGAAUUGUUCUGAAUAAUCGUAAACUUCGAUUAGUAAUUAGCAUUACUGUAACCUAUCCCAAUCGUUCGAAGGGGUAAUUCUCAGUAAUCGCUGAUACGCUUAUUCGAAGUUGGAUUGUUUAAACGAAUAGAUCGGUAAUCGAACAUGCGAUUAUCCGUGGCUUUUAAUUACAUUGGCGGAUGCUCGCCGUCCGAUUAUUAUAAUAACAAUAAAUCUGUCGGUAAUGAGAUUUAUCGUAAGUAAUUAUCUUCAGUACCAUCUAUAUUUAUAUAUAAAUUUUCGAAGUCUCCUUGAUACCUCGAUAUACAGUGAUCAGGCAAUGAUUCAGCCGAUGGUAUACUUACGAAAUAAGUAUACGUAUACGUAUGUAUACUGUUUUUUAAAAUAAGAGUCUGUCUUUCGUUUAGAAACGACAACGCCGACAAACGCGCGCUCGUCCUGGAAAUAGUGGUGUUUGGAUGCAAGAACGAAACGAAAGCGAUGGGAAAGAUGCAAGCCGGAUGGACCAAAUCAAACUCCUAACCCAAUCUCGUUCUUCACGGUACAACAGUCGCUUCUCUUAUAACGCGCGACCAAUUUCUGGUUUCUGUCGAGUAAUACAGAGACAACAUUCAAAAUUCUAAUACUUAAUUUACCAGCUGUAUGUUUUCCACGCGAUGCCCCGCGGAAGUGGGUCAGAUUAUAUCAUCGAAAUGGCUCGAGAGAAAAGUUAAAUUAGGAUUCGUUUCCUUUUUGCCGCCGACCUGCAACAUUCGUUUCUACUUGCCGUUACUUCCAAGACACAGUCCGACCCCCGUAGCACGAACCGUAUAGAAAACGUUCGCGAACCGAUUAUUCUUUCGAUUGUUCACCGUUAAUUAACAAGCAAAGGAUCUAAUAGUCGGACUGAUUUGAGAAAGUGGCAGUCGCGUUAAAGCAAAAGUGGCUGCAACCGCUACUUACGUACACGUAUCUAAAUGACGUUACCUACGACCUACAAGGACGUUGCGGUAAUUGGCAGAGGGAUACCGCGAUGUCUAGAUGCAACCAAAUGCAUGCGUAAUGUACCCUACUGGCCGCAUAAAUCACUCAAACGACUAUCUCGAUCGGGGUAGGGACAGCGGCUAGUGGUCAAUACUUGUGCAGGUCUAUAUUGUCAACGUGGCGUUAUUGCGAUACGAGACGGAAAAUGCGACAUACUUUCGACGUGUAUGUGUAUAUACAAGUUCACAGAACGAUGGUCGGUAAUUGCAUAAUAUAUGUAUCAUUUUUGUAAAGCGUUACACCAUGUCUCGUGCAUAGCGGAUGCAUGCGUAUCCUUUGAGAUCGUUCCUUUUUCGUUCAUACGUCGACGGAAUUUGAACGAGCGAACUCCCGAUAGAAUGGUAUCUAACGAGAAAACACAACGCGAUCGACGAUAUCGUAAAAAUAGUUGGAAUGAAAUCAUCGCGGUCUGAUACCAGCUACUUUUAUUCGCUGGCGUUAUGGGACACGAGAGUCGAGCAUGUGUAUUUGUAAUACUCUCGCCGUAAAUGUUCUCGAUAUAUCAUUUUAGCGUGAUGCUUUCGACUAUCGUGAGAUCGUUCUAAGGUAAGCGCGAACACGAGAAAGGACGACGAAGUCUGCGAAAUGCUCAGUCAAGACCAAGACGUACAGCGAUGUAAAAAUUUCUUGGUUAGCCGUUAGACCGAUGGAUUCUCUCGUGCCAGACGAAAUUGUACGUCUUGCGGGCCUUCAAGUCAUGCGUAAAUAUCUGAAAGGUGUAACGGAUGCUAAACUCUCGAAUAUGAAACUCUUGUGUUACAACCAACGAUAAAACGCUGAAAGAUCUUUGAUCUUUCUCGAAGCUUUAAACUCUUGACAAAAAAAAAAAAAAGAAAAAGGAAAAAAAGAA